AAAACCCAAAAACACUUUCUCUCUCUUCACUGUUCGGAGGCCGCAAUCUCUCUCGUCUCCUCCGACCCACCUGCCGAUUACCGGUGAAGAAUUGAAGGGUUUCUUCUGUUUGAUUAGAUGGGGAAGGGUUCGAAGAAUGGUGCGCUCUUCAAAGACAAGGCGAAAAAUCGCGUUGAUGAUCUGCAGGGUAUGUUCAUGAACCUGCAAUCUGCAAGGAAAGAAAGUCGAACUCAUGAUGCUGGGUUGCUUGAAGAGCAGGUCCACCAGAUGCUUCGUGAGUGGAAAGCUGAGCUCAAUGAGCCUUCCCCUGCCUCUUCUUUGCAGGGAGGAAGCCGUAUCUCAUCAGACCUCUAUAGGCUGCUGCAUGGUGAGGAGGAAGAUGAUGCUACCAGUGCAUUAGCUGCUCCUAAGCCUGAGCCUGAUGCUCAAAAACAAGAUGUUGCUGGUUUCCAGGAGGAUUUCAAUGCAACCCCGGUGAUGCAGGAACAAGGUUACCAGCUGGAUGAUGAAUGCAAAAAUACACCUUUAGCCGUCAACAAUGCAGGGAUUAACAAUGAAGGCGUUGCAACACAAUUAGAUUACCAUUCUUUUGAUCUGCAGCAAGAUUUCGAUCAGUUUGGAUUUGAUGCUUUAAAUCUCUGCCUAGAGGAGAAUUUGUCUCCUAUUCAGAUUAGCCCUCCACCCUCUGCUUUCCUGGGACCUAAAUGUGCACUUUGGGAUUGUCCUCGACCUGCGAUGGGGUCAGAUUGGUGCCAGAAGUCUCAUGACUACUGCAGUGACUAUCAUGCUGCUCUUGCGCCUAAUGAAGGCUAUCUUGGAAGACCUCCAGUUGUUCGACCAAUGGGUGUUGGCUUAAAGGAUAGUUUACUUUUCCAAGCACUAAGUGCUAAAGCACACGGGAAAGAUGUUGGGGUUCCAGAAUGUAGGGGCGCUGCCACUGCAAAGUCCCCCUGGAAUGCACCAGAGCUCUUUGACCUUGAAGUUGUUGAGGGUGAAACAAUCAGGGAAUGGCUUUUCUUUGAUAAGCCUCGAAGAGCAUUUGAAAGUGGAAACAGAAAGCAGAGGUCACUGCCUGAUUAUAACGGGCGGGGUUGGCAUGAGUCUAGGAAGCAAGUGAUAAAUGAUUAUGGAGGGCUGAAGAGAUCCUACUAUAUGGAUCCACAGCCGAUGAAAAAUCUGGAAUGGCAUUUGUAUGAAUAUGAGAUCAACAAGUAUGAUGCA
This 1221-nucleotide unclassified non-coding RNA is filed under the name Hevea brasiliensis (rubber tree). Lineage: Eukaryota; Viridiplantae; Streptophyta; Magnoliopsida; Malpighiales; Euphorbiaceae. The record is from RNAcentral.